AGAGACAGGUGAAUCAUCGAAUCUUUGAACGCAUCUUGCACUCUCUGGGUCUACUGGAGAGUAUACCUGUUUGAGUAUCAGAAAGUACUCUACUCUAUGGAGUGGGAGUUGAGGUUUAGCUUUGGUUAUUCCUUGGAAAUGAGCUGUGGAAGGUCACUCUCAGUGUGGUAAGAAUAGGUAGUAUUCUCCCACUUUUUUGACUGGAAGCUAUAAAACGUAUAGCGCAAGCUUUACAUAUGAACUUUGAUCUCAAAUCAGGUAGGAUUACCCGCUGAACUUAAGCAUAUCAAUAAGCGGAGG
RNAcentral lists this unclassified non-coding RNA (300 nucleotides) under uncultured fungus. Its description in RNAcentral is "sequence contains 5.8S rRNA gene, ITS2". The stretch from base 245 to 300 matches the Rfam family "Eukaryotic large subunit ribosomal RNA", at positions 1 to 56 of the family's 3401-position model. The record is from RNAcentral. Lineage: Eukaryota; Fungi.